This 416-nucleotide unclassified non-coding RNA is filed under the name fungal sp. RNAcentral describes it as "partial internal transcribed spacer region". The stretch from base 1 to 46 matches the Rfam family "Eukaryotic small subunit ribosomal RNA", at positions 1786 to 1831 of the family's 1831-position model. The record is from RNAcentral. Lineage: Eukaryota; Fungi.
AAGUCGUAACAAGGUUUCCGUAGGUGAACCUGCGGAAGGAUCAUUAACACGUAUCCACGUAACAACUAACUGAGAAUUCAAAUUAUCCCCUUUGAAUCGGUGCCUUUACUCGCAUCGAAGAGAAGGAGAAACAGGAGAGAGAUGAAAUAAAAGGGAAGUGAGGAAAAUUCGAAAAUUCGUCUCGUUUUCAAAAAUGAGAAGUUUUUUUUGAUUCUUUUCACUUUCUUCUCUCUUCUGAUAUUUUUCCACUUUUUUCACCCCCUGAUACCUUUUCUUGUUGUUUCCUUAAAUUUCGAUUUUUUUUCUCUUCCAUUCAGUUUUUACUGUUUGAUUAGUUUCGAAUUCUUAAUUUAUUUUGGAAAAUUUUAAUUUUUUUCAAUCGAAAACAACUCUUAGCAAUGGAUAUCUUGGUUCUC